GACUGUGAGGGUGAUCUGGCUGAGACAUUUGUCACCCUGCUGAUCACCAGGGUUGAUUUUGCUGAUCUGGCUGGCUAGGCAGAUGUCUCCUUUCUGCCUCACUGCUCCAUGUGUGUUCCUCCUGAAGCUGCACACUCGGUCAAAGAGGGUGGCCUUCCCCAACAGAGGUGGAUCUGUCUUUGGCUGAGGGUAUAGAGUAGCUGCACUCCCCUGAUAGAACCUCUAAACAAGCUCUCAAGACUCAUCUCUCCUUUUCCCACAUAAGAUCUCAAGUUGUCAUUCACAUUAGGUCCCAUGCCACUUCUUUGAAAUCUUCCUGAGAAUUUGACUAUAA
Erinaceus europaeus (western European hedgehog) is the source of this 334-nucleotide non-coding RNA. The record is from Rfam. Lineage: Eukaryota; Metazoa; Chordata; Mammalia; Eulipotyphla; Erinaceidae.